AACGAUGAAGCCCAGCUUGCUGGGUGGAAGAGUGGCGCAACGGGUGAGUAACACGUGAGUAACCUGCCCUGAACUCUGGGAUAAGCACUGGAAACGGUGUCUAAUACUGGAUACGACCUAUCACCGCAUGGUGUGUGGGUGGAAAGAUUUAUCGGUUCUGGAUGGACUCGCGGCCUAUCAGCUAGAUGGUGAGGUAAUGGCUCACCAUGGCGACGACGGGUAGCCGGCCUGAGAGGGUGACCGGCCACACUGGGACUGAGACACGGCCCAGACUCCUACGGGAGGCAGCAGUGGGGAAUAUUGCACAAUGGGCGCAAGCCUGAUGCAGCAACGCCGCGUGAGGGAUGACGGCCUUCGGGUUGUAAACCUCUUUUAGUAGGGAAGAAGCGAAAGUGACGGUACCUGCAGAAAAAGCACCGGCUAACUACGUGCCAGCAGCCGCGGUAAUACGUAGGGUGCAAGCGUUGUCCGGAAUUAUUGGGCGUAAAGAGCUCGUAGGCGGCUUGUCGCGUCUGCUGUGAAAACCCGGGGCUCAACCCCGGGCCUGCAGUGGGUACGGGCAGGCUAGAGUGCGGUAGGGGAGAUUGGAAUUCCUGGUGUAGCGGUGGAAUGCGCAGAUAUUCAGGAGGAAACACCCCGAUGGCGAAGGCAGAUCUCUGGGCCGCUACUGACGCUAGAGCAAAGCAUGGGGAGCGAACAGGAUUAGAUACCCUGGUAGUCCAU
This 723-nucleotide ribosomal RNA is filed under the name Leucobacter sp. INBio2557K. RNAcentral describes it as "bacterial SSU rRNA". It matches the Rfam family "Bacterial small subunit ribosomal RNA", at positions 65 to 798 of the family's 1533-position model. The record is from RNAcentral. Lineage: Bacteria; Bacillati; Actinomycetota; Actinomycetes; Micrococcales; Microbacteriaceae.